AUACUUACCUGGCAGGCAAGAUACCAUGAUCACAAAAGUGGUUUUCAUGGGGUGAGGAUCAUCCAUUGUACUCCAGGUGUGCUGACUCCUGCAAUUUCCCCUAAUUUGUGAUAGUGGAGGACUGUAUUUGCACUUUACCCUG
Molecule: small nuclear RNA, 142 nt
Filed under: Microcebus murinus (gray mouse lemur)
Lineage: Eukaryota; Metazoa; Chordata; Mammalia; Primates; Cheirogaleidae
Description: U1 spliceosomal RNA (ENSMICG00000018821.3)
Rfam family: U1 spliceosomal RNA
About the family: U1 is a small nuclear RNA (snRNA) component of the spliceosome (involved in pre-mRNA splicing). Its 5' end forms complementary base pairs with the 5' splice junction, thus defining the 5' donor site of an intron.
Source: RNAcentral